CAAUAGCGUAUAUUAAAGUUGUUGCGGUUAAAAAGCUCGUAGUUGGAUUUCUGCAGGAGUGUCAAUGUCCACCCACGUGUGAGUUGCAGCGACGCUCCUGCAUCCUUCGGUUACCUCCGCUCGGCAUUCACUUGCCGGCGGUUGGCUCCGAAUAUUUACCUUGAGAAAAUUAGAGUGUUUCAGGCAGGCUAUUCGCCGGAAUACAUUAGCAUGGAAUAAUGGAAAAGGACUGCAACCUCUUCUGUUGGUCUGGGAGGCUGAAGUAAUGAUUAAUAGGGAUAGUUGGGGGCAUUAGUACUUUCCAGUCAGAGGUGAAAUUCUCCAAUUUGGUAAAGACUAACUUAUGCGAAAGCAUUUGCCAAGGAUGUUUUCAUUAAUCAAGAACGAAAGUUAGGGGAUCAAAGAUGAUCAGAUACCGU
This 419-nucleotide ribosomal RNA is filed under the name uncultured eukaryote. RNAcentral describes it as "bacterial SSU rRNA". It matches the Rfam family "Eukaryotic small subunit ribosomal RNA", at positions 592 to 1018 of the family's 1831-position model. The record is from RNAcentral.